Molecule: transfer RNA, 76 nt
Filed under: Desulfovibrio sp.
Lineage: Bacteria; Pseudomonadati; Thermodesulfobacteriota; Desulfovibrionia; Desulfovibrionales; Desulfovibrionaceae
Description: tRNA-Val
Rfam family: tRNA
About the family: Transfer RNA (tRNA) molecules are approximately 80 nucleotides in length. Their secondary structure includes four short double-helical elements and three loops (D, anti-codon, and T loops). Further hydrogen bonds mediate the characteristic L-shaped molecular structure. tRNAs have two regions of fundamental functional importance: the anti-codon, which is responsible for specific mRNA codon recognition, and the 3' end, to which the tRNAs corresponding amino acid is attached (by aminoacyl-tRNA synthetases). tRNAs cope with the degeneracy of the genetic code in two manners: having more than one tRNA (with a specific anti-codon) for a particular amino acid; and 'wobble' base-pairing, i.e. permitting non-standard base-pairing at the 3rd anti-codon position.
Source: RNAcentral
GGGCAGUUAGCUCAGUUGGGAGAGCAUCGCCUUCACACGGCGGGGGCCACAGGUUCAAGUCCUGUACUGCCCACCA